UUUGUUGCUCUCUCUCCGACUGAGAGCGAACAAGAGAAGAUCGCCGCCGGUGGUGUCUCGGUACUAUGAUAAAAGAAGCCGAUGGAUGAAGAUCCCAUUGUUCGAUUCCAACUAAUUAAGUCUUGUCUUGGCCGGAGAAGCAAAGUCAGCGGAAUCCGAGAGAGGAUCAAAGCAAAGAUGACAAGCCCUUCUUCUUCUUCUUCUUCUCUUCUUGUUUGGGUUUUUUAGACAAAAUUGCAAAACCAUGAUCGAGACGUGUAUGUAUGUCUGAACUCUGAAGCCAGAACUAAGGGGAGAGAGAUUGAGUCUGCUACUAUGUUCUUCUUGCUUCCUCCACCACCAAUUCAUCAACUCCUCCACGCGACGAAGUAGAUUCAGAACACGGUCGCCGGCGUUCCUACCGUACCAGCAUCAAUCUGAUUUUGAAGAUUGAACCAUUCCAUACCUUUUGCUACCCUAGAUCGAUGCCGAGGAGCUCUCUGGUGCUCAUCCUGCUCAAGUACUACGGAGCUUUGGUAUUGUCUUUGUCUAACAGCGGGAGGGAGAUGUUUCAAUCUAAAGCACGAACGGGCCAAUUUCUGAAGAGGAAUUAGCAAAUACGACGACGACGAGCCCUUUUUCUCCUUCUUCUUCUUCUUGUUUGGGUUUUUUUUUUUGGAAAAGAUUGCAAAACCAUCAUCGAGUCGAAACGUGUAGGAGAGAUUGCGUGUCUGCUACUCUGUUCUUGCUUCCUCAAUCCUCACCCACCAAUUCAACUCGUCUCGAUCUCUCCUCCUCCCUCACGCGACGAAAGUAGAUUCAGAACAUGGUCGCUAUGCUAUGGUUUGAAGAACUGACGAAGAAGAUUCAGAACCAACACUGAGAUGCCUUACAAUAACAACAUCAAACAAACUGAUUGAACCUGGUGCUCUCUGGUGCCCAUCCUGCUCCUCCUGAAGUACGACAGGGCUCUGUGGUUUUGGUUUUAUAAUGCAGCCGGGAAAGUGGAUUUGGUUGGAUCUUCCAAUCAUAACACGCUUUUGGAUCUCUGAUUGGAGAGAACCCCUUCAAUGUUAAAGUUGCUCAAGUGGAUGGAACUCUCAGCCAUUAUAUAUUGGUGGACAGCUUCUCCCAUGCAUACCCUUUCAAAUCUCCACUGACACCUCUUGUAUGGAGAUGGAGAUAUCUCGACAAAGGCAGAUCAUAUGCUCGCUUUACCUAAGGUAACAAUGGUUAGACCAUUUAAUUUCCCGCUGGAGAUGCCACCACUACUUCAACUGAUGGGGG
This is a non-coding RNA of Camelina sativa (false flax), 1266 nucleotides long. Lineage: Eukaryota; Viridiplantae; Streptophyta; Magnoliopsida; Brassicales; Brassicaceae. The record is from RefSeq and is a predicted model, not a curated record.